AAGUCGUAACAAGGUCUCCGUUGGUGAACCAGCGGAGGGAUCAUUACUGAGUACUACACUCUCUACCCUUUGUGAACUAUUAUACCUGUUGCUUCGGCGGCGCCCGCAAGGGUGCCCGCCGGUCUCAUCAGAAUCUCUGUUUUCGAACCCGACGAUACUUCUGAGUGUUCUUAGCGAACUGUCAAAACUUUUAACAACGGAUCUCUUGGCUCCAGCAUCGAUGAAGAACGCAGCGAAACGCGAUAUGUAAUGUGAAUUGCAGAAUUCAGUGAAUCAUCGAAUCUUUGAACGCACAUGGCGCCUUCCAGUAUCCUGGGAGGCAUGCCUGUCCGAGCGUCGUUUCAACCCUCGAGCCCCUGUGGCCCGGCGUUGGGGAUCUGCCACGGCAGGCCCCUAAAACCAGUGGCGGACCCGAAGGGCCCUCUCCUUUGCGCAGUAGCAUUCGCCUCGCAUCGGAGUCCUCGGCGUCCUGCCUCUAAACCCCCACAAGCCCGCUUCGGCGGCACCAAGGUUGACCUCGGAUCAGGUAGGAAUACCCGCUGAACUUAA
Molecule: ribosomal RNA, 549 nt
Filed under: uncultured fungus
Lineage: Eukaryota; Fungi
Description: eukaryotic LSU rRNA
Rfam family: 5.8S ribosomal RNA (bases 186-339)
Source: RNAcentral